Molecule: long non-coding RNA, 318 nt
Filed under: Nicotiana benthamiana
Lineage: Eukaryota; Viridiplantae; Streptophyta; Magnoliopsida; Solanales; Solanaceae
Description: long non-coding RNA (NBEN_LNC027716)
Source: RNAcentral
CAUAUUUCAGUUGCUCAGCAAGUAAUGGUCUUUGCAUUUCCAGCUUUGUUUCUGAACUGCUUAACCUACCCUCGUAUUCACUCACCAAAUCCCUCAAUCCAACCACUUCACUCUCCAAUGCAUUUUGCUUCUCACGCAUCACUCCUUCCAACUCUGAUAGUUUCUCAUCUUUUUCACUUACAGAUUUCUCUAAACUGUCCGCAUUUUGCUUCUCACACAUCACUCCUUCCAACUCCGAUAGUUUCUCAUCUUUUUCACUUACACGUUUCUCUAAACUGUCGACAAUUGAAGCUUUCUUCGCAACCUCCUCUCUCAAAC